UUCUUCUCGCGGCGCCCAUAACCACGAUAGCCUUUGUCGCCAUUGCUCGCAGAUGUUCCAAAUGUUUCUAGCGCCCCAUUGCCAGUUGAUGCAAUACCUACGGACAAUAUUCCAAGCAAUUGUUAUUUUAGAUAUCGAGCUUUUGGACUACGGUAUGGCAGUUGGAUUAUUACUGAAAAGGGAUGCCGGUGUUUCUAGUUAAUCGACCGAUUUUCCGUUAUAACAAAAGUCGUCGUGAACAGAUCGAGCUACCUUUUUUCACAUUUUUCUUCCUCCUUUUUUAACGUUCGAUAUGGUAGUGAGAAAGGUGUUUGGUCACAUGGAGCGUUCGACGGCAGACUAAUAGAGGGAAUAUGCUGCUAUUAAGAGUAUGGGGGGAUGCGCGCUCGUCAAAGGGGUGAGCGAGGAAUCGAUCAACGAGGAGAAAUGAAUUUUAUCAAGUGUGAUGCUGAAAGGUUUCUCAAUCCUUUAACGAAUCUAUCGAUGAACGACGCGUGCAGGUCUUAAAGAGAUGGUUUUGCUGAAAAAAGGAUAAGAUGGAUGAGAGAAAAGGACAGAUGAGAUAAGAAGUCACUGAUACAAUUGGUAGCUGAACGACCCUUUAACCUGUUGCACGUGCCGUAUUUACCAGUCUUCGCGAACGUACCUGUUGUGUAACGCGAGAAAAUACAGAAACAGGAAAACACUACUCGAGCUUAUCACGUGGAAGAACGUUUCUGUUAUCGCGAGCCUGUACAACGAGCCUAUAGAAUCGUAACAACUGUUACCAUCGAUGUUUCA
Molecule: long non-coding RNA, 780 nt
Organism: Bombus pyrosoma
Lineage: Eukaryota; Metazoa; Arthropoda; Insecta; Hymenoptera; Apidae
Exons: 3
Source: RefSeq, a predicted model, not a curated record